GACGAACGCUGGCGGCGUGCCUAAUACAUGCCAGUAGAACGCACAGUUUAUACCGUAGCUUGCUACACCAUACACUGUGAGUUGCGAACGGGUGAGUAACGCGUAGGUAACCUGCCUGGUAGCGGGGGAUAACUAUUGGAAACGAUAGCUAAUACCGCAUAAUAUUGAUUAUUGCAUGAUAAUUGAUUGAAAGAUGCUAUUGCAUCACUACCAGAUGGACCUGCGUUGUAUUAGCUAGUAGGUGAGGUAACGGCUCACCUAGGCGACGAUACAUAGCCGACCUGAGAGGGUGAUCGGCCACACUGGGACUGAGACACGGCCCAGACUCCUACGGGAGGCAGCAGUAGGGAAUCUUCGGCAAUGGACGAAAGUCUGACCGAGCAACGCCGCGGGAGUGAAGAAGGUUUUCGGAUCGUAAAGCUCUGUUGUAAGAGAAGAACGGGUGUGAGAGUGGAAGGUUCACACUGUGACGGUAUCUUACCAGAAAGGGACGGCUAACUACGUG
Molecule: ribosomal RNA, 505 nt
Filed under: uncultured bacterium
Lineage: Bacteria
Description: partial 16S ribosomal RNA
Rfam family: Bacterial small subunit ribosomal RNA
Source: RNAcentral